GCUGGGUGUGGUGGUGGACACCUGUAAUCCCAGCUACUCGGGAGGCUGAGGCAGGAGAAUUGCUUGAAUCCAGGAGGUGGAGUUCGCAGUGAGUGGCGAUCAUACCACUGCACUCCAGCCUGGGCAACAGAGCAAGACUCCGUCUCAA
Molecule: non-coding RNA, 148 nt
Filed under: Pan troglodytes (chimpanzee)
Lineage: Eukaryota; Metazoa; Chordata; Mammalia; Primates; Hominidae
Source: Rfam by way of RNAcentral